AGCCUGAACCAGCCAAGUCGCGUGAGGGAAGACGGCCCUACGGGUUGUAAACCUCUUUUGUCAGGGAGCAAGAACAGGCACGUGUGCCUGACUGAGAGUACCUGAAGAAAAGCAUCGGCUAACUCCGUGCC
Molecule: ribosomal RNA, 131 nt
Filed under: uncultured bacterium
Lineage: Bacteria
Description: partial 16S ribosomal RNA
Rfam family: Bacterial small subunit ribosomal RNA
Source: RNAcentral